RNAcentral lists this ribosomal RNA (402 nucleotides) under uncultured bacterium. RNAcentral describes it as "bacterial SSU rRNA". It matches the Rfam family "Bacterial small subunit ribosomal RNA", at positions 355 to 774 of the family's 1533-position model. The record is from RNAcentral.
UGGGGAAUAUUGCACAAUGGGGGGAACCCUGAUGCAGCAACGCCGCGUGAGUGAAGAAGUAUUUCGGUAUGUAAAGCUCUAUCAGCAGGGAAGAUAAUGACGGUACCUGACUAAGAAGCUCCGGCUAAAUACGUGCCAGCAGCCGCGGUAAUACGUAUGGAGCAAGCGUUAUCCGGAUUUACUGGGUGUAAAGGGUGCGUAGGCGGCAGAGCAAGUCAGAUGUGAAAGACCGGGGCUCAACCCCGGGGCUGCAUUUGAAACUGUUUUGCUGGAGUCCGGGAGAGGCAGGCGGAAUUCCUAGUGUAGCGGUGAAAUGCGUAGAUAUUAGGAGGAACACCAGUGGCGAAGGCGGCCUGCUGGACCGGAACUGACGCUGAGGCACGAAAGCGUGGGGAGCAAACA